RNAcentral lists this ribosomal RNA (502 nucleotides) under uncultured bacterium. RNAcentral describes it as "partial 16S ribosomal RNA". It matches the Rfam family "Bacterial small subunit ribosomal RNA", at positions 29 to 523 of the family's 1533-position model. The record is from RNAcentral.
AUUGAACGCUGGCGGAAUGCUUUACACAUGCAAGUCGAACGGCAGCACGGGUGCUUGCACCUGGUGGCGAGUGGCGAACGGGUGAGUAAUACAUCGGAACGUACCCAGUUGUGGGGGAUAACUAACCGAAAGGUUAGCUAAUACCGCAUACGACCUGAGGGUGAAAGCGGGGGACCGUAAGGCCUCGCGCAAUUGGAGCGGCCGAUGUCUGGUUAGCUAGUUGGUAGGGUAAAGGCCUACCAAGGCGACGAUCAGUAGCUGGUCUGAGAGGAUGGUGAGCCACACUGGAACUUGGACACGGUCCAGACGCCUACGGGAGGCAGCAGGGGGGAAUUUUGGACAAUGGGCGAAAGCGUGAUCCAGCCAUUCCGCGUGAGUGAGGAAGGCCUUCGGGUUGUAAAGCUCUGUCGGCAGGGAAGAAACGGCCUAGGUUAAUACCUUGGGCUAAUGACGGUACCUGAAGAAGAAGCACCGGCUAACUACGUGCCAGCCGCCGCCGUAA